Molecule: transfer RNA, 65 nt
Filed under: Dipodomys ordii (Ord's kangaroo rat)
Lineage: Eukaryota; Metazoa; Chordata; Mammalia; Rodentia; Heteromyidae
Rfam family: tRNA
About the family: Transfer RNA (tRNA) molecules are approximately 80 nucleotides in length. Their secondary structure includes four short double-helical elements and three loops (D, anti-codon, and T loops).
Source: Rfam by way of RNAcentral
GGUGGCUCAGUGGUAGAGCGUUUGCUUUGCAUUCAUGAGGCCCUGGGUUCGAUUCCUCAGCACCA